Monodelphis domestica (gray short-tailed opossum) is the source of this 355-nucleotide long non-coding RNA. RefSeq lists it as uncharacterized. The record is from RefSeq and is a predicted model, not a curated record. NCBI's taxonomy places the organism in Eukaryota, Metazoa, Chordata, Mammalia, Didelphimorphia, Didelphidae.
AGAGGGUUAGAGGGCAGUUCGAUCCUGGAGCUCAAACUGGGAGGAGACCCGCAGACAGCUUUCCUUCAGAUCAGUCAUUUUGGCAACCAUGAAAGGAUGCAGUCUUUAACCCUAAAAGUGAAUCUAACAAUAUUGGUUUAUCUUUUUAAGACUUUUAAAUUCCUCGAUUUCAUAAGCAAAGGAUAAACUAUGGGAGUGGAAACACCGAGGAAAAGCAACUGCCUGAAUACAGAGGUUGAGGGGACAUGACAGAGGAGAGACUCUAAAUGAACACUCUAAUGCAAAUACUAUCAACAAAGCAAUGGGUUCAAAUCAAGAAAACAUCUAAUGCCCAGUGGACUUACGCAUCGGCUAU